RNAcentral lists this long non-coding RNA (625 nucleotides) under Homo sapiens (human). Its description in RNAcentral is "non-protein coding lnc-ALG12-1:1". The record is from RNAcentral. Lineage: Eukaryota; Metazoa; Chordata; Mammalia; Primates; Hominidae.
CUGUGGUGAGCUGGAGAGCGGCCCUGAGAGUGCCUGGUCUGAUGUCGUACACAGCCGUGGGCAGAGCGGGUCAUAGACCUGGUACAGGCUGCUAACGCUGGGGCAGCCACGCCUCUGGCCUAGUGGUGCCGUCGUGAGUUUCAAUACUGAAAGUAUAUUAAGGGAAGAUUCACUUUCAAAAAGAUAAGUUUUUCAAAAUGUUCCAUCAUGAGCCUGGAUUGGCCAAGGCUACCGUUCUCAGUGGGUGUGUUGAACAGCUUUUCUGAAGGGACAAGUUUUCAAGUUAUUCUCCAUGACUGACCAUAACUACUCCGGCUGUAUCUUAGGUUCAUAAAACACUGAUCCAAGUGCUCAUUUGUGCCCCCGAAUGUAGAUUAUCUUCACUUUUUCGUCAUAAUUCCAUCUUUCAGGAUGUUUCUAGAAAUAUGGCUAAUCAUAAAUAGUACUGAAAAAAAGAAUCUGUGACUCAUGGUCUUACAGCAUAGAUCACUGCUUUCCAAGAGUCCUGCUACUAAACACUCAUGGUGUAGACAACAAUGUGUGCAGCAGAGACGUGCUUCUGGUCCUGAGGACAGGAUCUGCCUGAUCAUCUUGAGAGCAUACACGUGACCCUUGUGCAUUACCU